AGCUUUGAUGGUAUGAUGGCUGUAAAAACAUUUAAUUUUCUUAAUGCAUUUAUCCUGCAAGUAGCAUGCAGGGUUGCCUCGAAACAUCAUCAGCUCUCAGUACAGACCUGUUGCUUCUCCCUUCUGCCAAGGCACGAGGAGAGCAUGAAGAGAUCCAGCACUCUGCCUCUGCUUUCUAAAUGCUGCUUUUUUUCCAGAGACCUCUGGGAGAUGUUUGCCUUGAAGAAAUGCAUUGGGGAGCUGGCAAGAGAUGACGAAGCACAAAACUGAAAUCAGUUUCAAGAGUGAUCAGUGAAAUUGAGAAUGAGUUCUUCAUCCUCAGAGGCAAGAUGGAAAAGUUAUCUUUUCUCUUGAAGUACUCCAGUGGUUCCACACUCAAGAACAGUUCUUGAGUCACCAUGGAUAUAAUGAGGGAUGCAAAGCCUUGGAAGCUGCCCCCCGCGCUGGACAAGUACAAGAGCACGUAUCGGAAGGACUUCGGCUGGCACGGCGAUUAUCACUCACCCACCCAGGCACACGUACCGAAACCUUCAUUCCCUCCUGUUCCAGAAGUAUCCAAGUGCUACCUGCCAGAGUGCUACUCCUCUGACCUGACACCAGGACGGGUGGGGAAACUGGAGAUUCUCGCUGAGCCUAUGCACGACCUGUCUUGUUGCCCGUCCAUUCCUCCUCUGUCAACUAGAACUGAAGAGGCGUUGGUAUCGAAGGAACUGCCAUCCACGGGCUUGGUCACCUACCAGCAAUUCGCCCAGGAUUUGUACCUGGAAGGGCUGCACAAUGCUGAUAAAUACAAAACCAAGAACCGGAGCUCAUCUGUUUUAAUGAGAGACUACUCUGACCUCGAUUGGAAAAGUACCUACAAGCAAGAUUUUGAGCACUGGAAAGGAGUCCGUGGUGCGCUUUACACAGAGGAGAUAAGGCCUUCUCCCGUUUUCCCUGAAGAUAACCGCUUCAAUGAGAGCCGCUGGGUUUCUGAGUAUGCAGACAGCUACAGCAUCUUCCUGAAGAGGCUGGACUGGUCAUCUCCCAUCUCUGCACAAUGGCUGCCCUUUGGGAAGGAUGCACGAUGGACACCGCGAUGGAGAGAGUCCACUCACUGAGUGGUGCUAGGGUGGCUGUG
This 1120-nucleotide long non-coding RNA is filed under the name Parus major (Great Tit). Its description in RNAcentral is "lncRNA (ENSPMJG00000016809.1)". The record is from RNAcentral. Lineage: Eukaryota; Metazoa; Chordata; Aves; Passeriformes; Paridae.